UACGAACUGCGCGAACGUUAUUCGGAAUCACUGGGCUUAAAGGGUGCGUAGGCGGCCUGUUAAGUAGGGUGUGAAAUCUGUCGGCUCAACCGGCAGACUGCAUUCUAAACUGGCAGGCUUGAGUGAGUCAGGGGUGUGCGGAACUUCCGGUGGAGCGGUGAAAUGCGUUGAUAUCGGAAGGAACGCCGGUGGCGAAAGCGGCACACUGGGGCUUUUCUGACGCUGAGGCACGAAAGCCAGGGGAGCGAACAGG
This 253-nucleotide unclassified non-coding RNA is filed under the name uncultured Planctomycetales bacterium. Its description in RNAcentral is "contains 16S-23S intergenic spacer region". It matches the Rfam family "Bacterial small subunit ribosomal RNA", at positions 524 to 776 of the family's 1533-position model. The record is from RNAcentral. Lineage: Bacteria; Pseudomonadati; Planctomycetota; Planctomycetia; Planctomycetales.